CCUACGGGUGGCAGCAGUGAGGAAUAUUGGUCAAUGGGCGGAAGCCUGAACCAGCCAAGUCGCGUGCAGGAUGACGGCCCUACGGGUUGUAAACUGCUUUUAUACGGGAAUAACGCGCCUUACGUGUAGGGCUUUGCAUGUACCGUCUGAAUAAGGACCGGCUAAUUCCGUGCCAGCAGCCGAGGUAAUACGGAAGGUCCGGGCGUUAACCGGAUUUAUUGGGUUUAAAGGGGGCGGAGGUCGCAUGUCAAGCGUGCUGUGAAAUGUCCGGGCUCAACCCGGGCCUUGCAGCGCGAACUGGCGUGCUUGAGUGCGCGGAAGGCAGGCGGAAUUCGUCGUGUAGCGGUGAAAUGCUUAGAUAUGACGAAGAACCCCGAUGGCGAAGGCAGCUUGCUGCAGCGGAACUGACGCUGAUGCUCGAAAGCGCGGGGAUCGAACAGGAUUAGAUACCCUUGUAGUC
RNAcentral lists this ribosomal RNA (460 nucleotides) under uncultured bacterium. Its description in RNAcentral is "partial 16S ribosomal RNA". It matches the Rfam family "Bacterial small subunit ribosomal RNA", at positions 338 to 795 of the family's 1533-position model. The record is from RNAcentral.